RNAcentral lists this long non-coding RNA (1138 nucleotides) under Fukomys damarensis (Damara mole-rat). RNAcentral describes it as "lncRNA (ENSFDAG00000025059.1)". Lineage: Eukaryota; Metazoa; Chordata; Mammalia; Rodentia; Bathyergidae. The record is from RNAcentral.
CAGGAAGCGCAUCAGGAGGGACGGUGGGGUGCCCUCUGCCAACAUUGCUUACGGUUGUACCCAACUGGCACAUUUGCCCUGGGAGGUGGGGGUGGGGAGGCUUCUUUCCAGUGACCUGGGAGUCCUCUGACAGGAUCCCUCCACCAGCCUCUUCGGAGUGCUGGUCCUCUACCAAGAAGGCGUCCAGAGACCCACAUAGAAGUCUGCCUGCAGCCUGUCCAAUCAAGCCCUCCCAGGUUCCUUGACCCUGGAAAAAGUGAGUAGGGGCCGUCCUGCCCACUUCCGCAGCAGGGUGUCCUAUGCUUACAGAAGGACACCUGCAGACCAUACAAGUUCAGGGAGAGCUGAGUUUGUGGAUGGUACCUUUCCUGUUUUUCACAUGACUGAGAGGAACCAAACCCAGCCACUCCAGCUCCUGACUCAGAAUGUCCUCAGAAUGAGGGACCAGGGCACCCAGAGACCCGACUUCAUCUGCAGGACAGCGAGUGUCCAUCUGUGACUGACCACUGACUCUCAGCAAGACAGGCCAGUGAUUGCAAGUCCCUUAAAUUUUCCAGAGAAGCCAGAAACACAGAUUCGUACGUGAAAUCCCUUGAGUUCUAAAUGUUAAUUACCAAUUCCAGGCUCUCAGAGGCUCUAUGGAGACCGAGCCAAUCAAGUCUGCAGACUGCUGGGAGCCAACGCACACCUGCAUCCGACCUUCCUACCUCCCCAGGCUGCCACCCCUCCCUGCUGUUCCAUGCCACAGACUCAGCAUACUGGGUGCAGCCUGCAGUGCCCUCUGUGGGGGAAUCAGUGGAUGACAGGGACACCUCAGAGGGCAAAUUACUGUGCCAGCUGCCAUCCUGCUCACCAAGACAAAGACGGCAUGGAAAUACCCAGGGUGACUGUCACGCAGAGAGAGGCCGGGGUCACGAAGCUGACAUCUCUCCAAGCAACAGCUAGCUGCUGGGCUUCUGCAUUUCCAACCUGACCGGACACAGUGGCAUCCAGGGCAAUAACACUGGGUAGGAGACAAUGUUUCCUUUAAUCGGAGUCACACCUAAGGAGGCUAUUUCUAGAAACUUCAUAACUUUCCUCAAUUGCCCAAACGAUUCCAAGUCGUUUUUUCCAAAACAAGUCUUGUUCCUUAAAAACU